UUGCCGGCGACCGGCGCACGGGUGAGUAACGCGUAUCCCACUUUCCGCUUACUCGGGGAUAGCCUUUCGAAAGAAAGAUUCAUACCCGAUGGUAUCUUAAGCACGCAUGAGAUUAAGAUUAAAGAUUUAUCGGUAAGCGAUGGGGAUGCGUUCCAUUAGGCAGUUGGCGGGGUAACGGCCCACCAAACCUACGAUGGAUAGGGGUUCUGAGAGGAAGGUCCCCCACAUUGGAACUGAGACACGGUCCAAACUCCUACGGGGGCAGCAGUGAGGAAUAUUGGUCAAUGGGCGAGAGCCUGAACCAGCCAAGUAGCGUGAAGGAUGACGGCCCUACGGGUUGUAAACUUCUUUUGUGCGGGAAUAAAGGAACCUACGUGUAGGUUUUUGCAUGUACCGUAACGAAUAAGCAUCGGCUAACUCCGUGCCAGCAGCCGCGGUAAUACGGAGGAUGCGAGCGUUAUCCGGAUUUAUUGGGUUUAAAGGGAGCGUAGACGGGUUUUUAAGUCAGCUGUGAAAGUUUGGGGCUCAACCUUAAAAUUGCAGUUGAAACUGGAGACCUUGAGUACGGUUGAGGCAGGCGGAAUUCGUGGUGUAGCGGUGAAAUGCUUAGAUAUCACGAAGAACUCCGAUUG
Molecule: ribosomal RNA, 632 nt
Filed under: uncultured Bacteroidales bacterium
Lineage: Bacteria; Pseudomonadati; Bacteroidota; Bacteroidia; Bacteroidales
Description: bacterial SSU rRNA
Rfam family: Bacterial small subunit ribosomal RNA
Source: RNAcentral